RNAcentral lists this ribosomal RNA (468 nucleotides) under uncultured bacterium. RNAcentral describes it as "partial 16S ribosomal RNA". It matches the Rfam family "Bacterial small subunit ribosomal RNA", at positions 28 to 506 of the family's 1533-position model. The record is from RNAcentral.
GACGAACGCUGGCGGCGUGCUUAACACAUGCAAGUCGAACGGAAAGGCCCUGCUUUUGUGGGGUGCUCGAGUGGCGAACGGGUGAGUAACACGUGAGUAACCUGCCCUUGACUUUGGGAUAACUUCAGGAAACUGGGGCUAAUACCGGAUAGGAGCUCCUGCUGCAUGGUGGGGGUUGGAAAGUUUCGGCGGUUGGGGAUGGACUCGCGGCUUAUCAGCUUGUUGGUGGGGUAGUGGCUUACCAAGGCUUUGACGGGUAGCCGGCCUGAGAGGGUGACCGGGCACAUUGGGAAGGGGGUAGGGCCCAGGGUCCCACGGGGGGGAAGGGGGGGGAAAAUUGGCCAAUGGGGGGGAGCCGGGGAGAGCAACCCCGGGGGGGGGGAGACGGGCUUUGGGGUGGAAACCGCUUUUGGCCGUGAAGGAGGGGGGGGGGAGGGUAAGGGUAAAAAAAGCACGGGUAAACUAGGU